RNAcentral lists this ribosomal RNA (397 nucleotides) under uncultured bacterium. RNAcentral describes it as "partial 16S ribosomal RNA". It matches the Rfam family "Bacterial small subunit ribosomal RNA", at positions 523 to 918 of the family's 1533-position model. The record is from RNAcentral.
AUACGUAGGUGGCAAGCGUUGUCCGGAAUUAUUGGGCGUAAAGCGCGCGCAGGUGGUCCUUUAAGUCUGAUGUGAAAGCCCACGGCUCAACCGUGGAGGGUCAUUGGAAACUGGGGAACUUGAGUGCAGAAGAGGAUAGUGGAAUUCCAAGUGUAGCGGUGAAAUGCGUAGAGAUUUGGAGGAACACCAGUGGCGAAGGCGACUGUCUGGUCUGUAACUGACACUGAGGCGCGAAAGCGUGGGGAGCAAACAGGAUUAGAUACCCUGGUAGUCCACGCCGUAAACGAUGAGUGCUAAGUGUUGGGGGGUUUCCGCCCCUCAGUGCUGCAGCUAACGCAUUAAGCACUCCGCCUGGGGAGUACGGUCGCAAGACUGAAACUCAAAUGAAUUGACGGGG